Molecule: ribosomal RNA, 438 nt
Filed under: Ehrlichia canis
Lineage: Bacteria; Pseudomonadati; Pseudomonadota; Alphaproteobacteria; Rickettsiales; Anaplasmataceae
Description: bacterial SSU rRNA
Rfam family: Bacterial small subunit ribosomal RNA
Source: RNAcentral
CUUAACACAUGCAAGUCGAACGGACAAUUAUUUAUAGCCUCUGGCUAUAGGAAAUUGUUAGUGGCAGACGGGUGAGUAAUGCGUAGGAAUCUACCUAGUAGUACGGAAUAGCCAUUAGAAAUGGUGGGUAAUACUGUAUAAUCCCCGAGGGGGAAAGAUUUAUCGCUAUUAGAUGAGCCUACGUUAGAUUAGCUAGUUGGUGAGGUAAUGGCUUACCAAGGCUAUGAUCUAUAGCUGGUCUGAGAGGACGAUCAGCCACACUGGAACUGAGAUACGGUCCAGACUCCUACGGGAGGCAGCAGUGGGGAAUAUUGGACAAUGGGCGAAAGCCUGAUCCAGCUAUGCCGCGUGAGUGAAGAAGGCCUUCGGGUUGUAAAACUCUUUCAAUAGGGAAGAUAAUGACGGUACCUAUAGAAGAAGUCCCGGCAAACUCUGUGC